CCGUUAGCUGUGUCGUCACUGGUUGUUAAAAAUGGCGGAGGGCUCCCGGAAAAACGUCCGGGAAAUCGGGAAAAGUGGGCAUUAAUUAUGGAGAGUGCUUGUAAAGUGUUCUCUAGACCCUGCGCUUCAUUUUGAUGUAACUUUCAUGGGUGUGCCCCCGUUUUUUCUAUGGGAAAACUGUGAGACAUAACCUCGCAAAUGGCCCCUCUGGGUUAGUAGUUAUCGAGUCCAGAGGAGGUCGAACAGAACAGGGACAGGAGAGGACUCGAGCAAAUACCUCCCGGAGGUAAAAAAAGUAAAAAGUCACCAGAGGGCACUUCUCGACAACAGGGCAGCAGUUUGCAGAUGACUGGACCACAGACUUUAUUUACUAUUUGAUUUAUUUAUAUUGUAUUUAUUUAUAUAUAUGUAUUGUACCAUUGACAAUAAGAACAUGCUUUAAAUUUGAAAAA
Anthonomus grandis grandis is the source of this 452-nucleotide long non-coding RNA. RefSeq lists it as uncharacterized. The record is from RefSeq and is a predicted model, not a curated record. Lineage: Eukaryota; Metazoa; Arthropoda; Insecta; Coleoptera; Curculionidae. The transcript has 3 exons.